UUCAUCUCUACUCUCUCUUCUUCAUCUCUCCUGUCGACUUAGAAUGCAAGACCACCACCCUCCUCCUCCACCCGCCUCCGCCACCACUUAAAAAACACAGUUGUCUGUCUUUUUAAUUCUCAACUUUAGCUCAAAAAACUCACACCCCUCUCUCUUUCUAUCUCUGCUCAGAAGUCAAAAUCCUGUCACUCAGAUGAUAUUUCCCUGUGUUCACAGUUUACCCAUUUUUCAAGCUUCCUUUCAUAUUAUUGUAGAUAGCAUUUUCAAGACAAACAAAAGCAGGGACUCCUUUACUGGUUUCUAGUUCUGGUGUUGGUGAUGGUAAAAUUGAAUUAAUGAAUCUUUUAUACUUAAUUUGACGUGAGGAAACGACGGUGGUUGCACAUUUAGUCCGGGCGGUGGUUGCACAUUUAAAGGGGAGGUGCUCUGCUGGGAGAAGAUAAGAAUAAGAGAUGAAGAAGAGAGAGAGAGAGUAGAGAUGAAGAAGAGAGCGAGUCUGGAUUUUUAAUUAAU
This 513-nucleotide long non-coding RNA is filed under the name Helianthus annuus (common sunflower). The record is from RNAcentral. Lineage: Eukaryota; Viridiplantae; Streptophyta; Magnoliopsida; Asterales; Asteraceae.